Molecule: unclassified non-coding RNA, 396 nt
Filed under: soil metagenome
Description: partial contains 5.8S ribosomal RNA, internal transcribed spacer 2, and large subunit ribosomal RNA
Rfam family: 5.8S ribosomal RNA (bases 1-122)
Source: RNAcentral
GAUGAAGAACGUAGCGAAAUGCGAUACUUGGUGUGAAUUGCAGAAUCCCGUGAACCAUCGAGUUUUUGAACGCAAGUUGCGCCCGAAGCCGUUAGGCCGAGGGCACGCCUGCCUGGGUGUCACACACCGUUACCCUCGCGCCAACGUCCAUCGUUGGCCGCGGCGCGGGGCGUGCGCUGACCUCCCGCGAGCGGGGUCUCGUGGUUGGUUGAAAAUCGAGUUCGCGGUCGAGGGUGCCGUGAUGAAAUGGUGGAUGGGCGACGCCCGAGGCCAAUCACGCGCGACUCUGUCCGGCCCGGACUCCUGGACCCCUUCGGCGUCUCCGGACGCUCUUUGGCGAGACCUCAGGUCAGGCGGGGCUACCCGCUGAGUUUAAGCAUAUCAAUAAGCGGAGGA